Molecule: long non-coding RNA, 914 nt
Organism: Olea europaea var. sylvestris
Lineage: Eukaryota; Viridiplantae; Streptophyta; Magnoliopsida; Lamiales; Oleaceae
Exons: 3
Source: RefSeq, a predicted model, not a curated record
UAUGGCUACUGCAAUGACAUUGGCAAUCCUGACAAAGGCCUGGAGUAUAUGAGACCUGUUACAGGUGGUUCUCAGUCAUGUCCAUGUCAUCGUAUAUUAAGAACUGAUCACCCUCCAGCAACCAUGAUUCAAAAGCAAUGUUCAUAGAGGGAUCGAGUCAUUUUGAGUUCUUCAAUGAGAUACAGCAGUUGUUCACAACCACUAGGGUCCAAGGAGUGGAAGAAUGGGUAGUGAAGAUUUUGAAACCAGCAGUGCCUGAUGAUCUUCUUAAAAAAGUUUAAACAAGUAAUCAAGAAGAACCCAGUGAAAUCUCCGCUUCCUGAAAUCAUAGCAGGAACAAAUUUGCAUGGAUGAAUAAUGACAAAUUUGGGCGAUAUCCAACCGUAAUCCAUGUUUGCAGGUGUGUCAAGUGACCUGAAAAGGGGAUCCUCAACAUAAUUUGAUGGAAUAAUUUCGUUUUCUUUGUUCAAUGUAAAUCUGACGUACUACUAAAAUGUGCUUAAACAAAAGAGAUUGGAAAAGUGUCACUCACAGGGUCUCAUUGAGGUCCUUCAAUAUACAAAUACCGAUUUCUUGUACGUCAGUGGAGGGUAGUGUUAUCUUGUGAAUGGAGUUGGGAAACCAUUAUAUGUCAAUGCUCUGACAAAGAAUUUGCAUAGUUCGCCUUGCGCCUGUGUGGAAGUUAGUGCUGACAAACCUCUAGUUGAUUGCCGACAAACCUCUAGUUGAUUGCCUUGAUCUUGACUUGGAGGAUGAGUUGCCUGCUGAAAUAUAAGUGGAGUAUCAUUGUCUCAAUUGUGAAGUCCAUGGACACAAUUAAGAUCAGUGCUCUAGCUUUGAGAACAGAGAAGGAAAGGAUAAAGUGAUGACAAACCGGGUGGAAGCUGCCCAGUUGCACAAGUUCUCUCUUUUUU